Long non-coding RNA from Globicephala melas (long-finned pilot whale), 272 nucleotides. RefSeq lists it as uncharacterized. NCBI's taxonomy places the organism in Eukaryota, Metazoa, Chordata, Mammalia, Artiodactyla, Delphinidae. The record is from RefSeq and is a predicted model, not a curated record.
AGGUGCAACUGAUACGGAUCGGUGGUCUUGGCCUUCCCCAAUAAAUAGAAUUUGAUAAGAGACCAGUCAGGAAAUUCAGGUCAAGGAGGACAUUAUUAACUGAACCUGAACCGGCAGCUGCUGAGAUCUGAGGAGAUUUAUUUCGUAGCCUACAACACAGCACAGUACACCUGAGAUGCUCAAUAAAUACGUGUGGAAUUAAAGAACAUGCAAAGACUGGAAAUCAUGAAAGGAUCCAGCAGGUUCACUGAACAGACGUCACUCCAGUGUGC